RNAcentral lists this ribosomal RNA (253 nucleotides) under uncultured bacterium. Its description in RNAcentral is "partial 16S ribosomal RNA". It matches the Rfam family "Bacterial small subunit ribosomal RNA", at positions 524 to 776 of the family's 1533-position model. The record is from RNAcentral.
GACGAAGGUCCCGAGCGUUGUUCGGAAUUACUGGGCGUAAAGGGAGCGUAGGCUGCGCGGAUAGUCAGGUGUGAAAUUCCCAGGCUCAACCUGGGGACUGCAUCCGAUACUUCCGCGCUUGAGGGCUAGAGGGGAGUCUGGAAUUCACGGUGUAGCAGUGAAAUGCGUAGAUAUCGUGAGGAACACUAGUGGCGAAGGCGAGACUCUGGAUAGAUCCUGACGCUGAGGCUCGAAGGCCAGGGGAGCGAAGGGG